Lemur catta (Ring-tailed lemur) is the source of this 107-nucleotide small nuclear RNA. The record is from RefSeq and is a predicted model, not a curated record. Lineage: Eukaryota; Metazoa; Chordata; Mammalia; Primates; Lemuridae.
GUGCUCGCUUCAGCAGCACAUAUACUAAAAUUGAAACGAUACAGAGAAGAUUAGCAUGGCCCCUGUGCAAGGAUGACACACAAAUCUGUGAGGCGUUCCAUAUUAAA